GCAUUCACAUGGAUGUAAGCAGUGGUUACAUCUGCAGGGAUACUUGUCAAGGCAUUGCUUUGUCUGUGUCAAUCUGUUUUGCCCUUCACAUUCAUUGUGGCACUCUCUCUGUGUGUAUGUGCGUGUCUGGCUCUUUGGAAUGCAGCUGCACGCACAUGGGAAGUUCUAUUUAGGUUAGCAUAGGAGCAGCCCUCCAGGUGCCCACCUCAUUCAGAUCAACCAGACUUGAAAGGAGAAAUCCCACAGUGUUCAGAAGCCUGCUGGCUCUGGCUGCUCCGUAACAGAGUGGGCAAGGAAACCCAAAGCAACUCUGCAGCAGAGAUCACCGGGUGGGCAAGGAGGCAGCACUGGCUCUGUCAUAUAAACUCCCAAAUUAGGGCCCUCUGAGUGAGUGCUAAACUCUCAUUUUGUGUUUAACUGCAUGUGUAAGACUUGUGUGCACAAAGGUGAGGUCAAGCUGACCCCUUGUAAAGUUGUCAAAAUUGAUGACUGAAGAGAUUCCUAAUUAAGGGAUUCAGCCUUGUGAAGGACGGGAGAGAAAGAAGAGAUGGUGAAAAGCGUGGCUCACGUCACUAGUGACAUCGCAAUGGCACCACGAAGCCCCGCUGGCUGUGGGCAUACUCCCUGGAUACCGGCCGGCCCCAGCCCCCAGCGGGAGGUUGGCCAUCCCACAGCAGCACUGGCCCCGCAUCACCACCACCAUGUGCCAGCGGGUCUGCUGGGCACUGCCCCCAUGCAGGAGACAGAACAGGAGCCCCCGGACCAGCUGCCAGCGCUGAUGGUGCAGUGGCACAGGGGCAGAGGUGCUUCUGGCGUUGACAGUGGCGUUGGUAAUGGCACUGGUGCCGGCUGGCCCCAUGGCCGAGGGCUGGGAGCAGUGAUGGCUGCAGCCGCUCAGCGCUGGUGAGGUGGAGAUGUGCUGACACGCAGAGAUGGGCUGAAGCGAUUGCCAUCCUUUGGCCCAAAGGCACUUGCAUGCUUCCACUCAAUUGCCUGCCUGUGUGUGUGUGUGUGUUCUACCCGUUCUUUAAAAAAUUGGCCAGAAAGAAAGGAAAGCAUUUAUGCACGCUCAACACAAAGUAAAGUUUGGCCUUGUGGCCCCUCUUGAGGCCAACCAACCGGCAGACAUCCCCUAAGGAUUCUCACAGGAGUCAAAGGCUUCACCAUCCCCUCUCUGGAGGAAGAGGAAGUGCAUGUUGCUGAAGCGACCACAGAGCAUCUGCUCUGCUGUUCAGUGGAUGAGCAGGGAGCAGAUGCCUGAACACCGGCACCCCAGCAUGCCGCUGCAGUGCGGCGGACGGCACACUCUCACUACCCUGCUGCAGCACUGGCCCAGCCUCCAGCCUCAACCACCCAGCACCCCGCGGCUGCACCAGCCCCACACCCAGCUGCCCAUCCAGGUAGGGAUGACAAAGGUAGGGACAUGGUGGGGGUGAUCAAGGCGGGGAGGGAGAUGCUGAGCAUUGGGAGGUAGGCGAGUCUCAGUUUCUGCAGGGAGAGCUGGGUGUGGGAGGGUUGCCUGGGGAUGCUGAAUUCAGCCCCAUGUGUCAGCCAGGCUGCUCUCUCCCUCCCAGCACAAUGACGAGGUGGAGCUGUUGGGCCAGGACGGCUGCACCUACAGGGGCCGACGGGACAGGCAGCUUCCUCUGCUCGUGGGCAAGGAGGGUACGGCCAGGGUACACUUGGGGAUGGGAUCCAGCAACAGCCAAGGGGACGUCAUUGUGGGCAGGGCACCUCUGGGGUGCCAGUGUUCCCCCUGGCUCCCCCCAGCCUAUCUCCCGCUGCAGUUUCCUGCCAGGAUCCCUGAUGGAUAAGGCCAAGAUCAGCAGAGGGACGUGCUGGACACCGGCUGCCUGCUCUCGCAGCCCUGCAGGGCGGGACCUCGUGCAGCCAGCUGGGUAUGGCCCUGUCAGGGCACUGCGGAGGAGAGGGCACCCUUCUGUAAGCCGGUACUGCCAGGCCAGCCUCAUGCCAUGGGCAGCUCUGCCAGGCACCACCAGGACUCCUCGUCCAGCCCCUUCGGAGUGACUCCAGCACCACGGCAGCUGAGCGGGACUGGGGGUCCCUUGCCAAACCCCCACCACGCCGGCCACCGAGCAGGAAGUUAGGCAGCUCCAGCCGUCAGCAAUAAAGGAUGACGGGCAGCCAAGCGCCUGUGUGGCCUGAGUGGGGUGGCUCUGCGUCGGGAACUUCUCAUCAUGCAUAAGGGCGGCUGGCAGCACGCCUCGUUCUGCAGCCAUGUGUCACCAGAGGAGCUGCUGGAAAUGGCCCCUGUGCAAUCCCCUCCUGCUGCCUAAACUCCUGAAUUUCCAAACUGAUCUCAUUAACAGGGAUAUGCUGGCGGUUUGGGUCAGGCUGGGCCACCCUCUCAUGUGGUUAGUUCUCAAGUGCCCACCAUCUCAAGUCAUCAGAACUGAUGACUGAAAGGACUUCUCACCAAGGGAGUCAAUCUGGGGAAGGAACAAAUAACAAUAAGAAUACCAUUACAUAAACGACGCAGAAAGAAGUCUCCAAGUGAAAAUGUUCUGGCUGCAAGAGGAGAC
This is a long non-coding RNA of Falco peregrinus (peregrine falcon), 2543 nucleotides long. RefSeq lists it as uncharacterized. NCBI's taxonomy places the organism in Eukaryota, Metazoa, Chordata, Aves, Falconiformes, Falconidae. The record is from RefSeq and is a predicted model, not a curated record. The transcript has 3 exons.